This 459-nucleotide ribosomal RNA is filed under the name uncultured bacterium. Its description in RNAcentral is "partial 16S ribosomal RNA". It matches the Rfam family "Bacterial small subunit ribosomal RNA", at positions 338 to 795 of the family's 1533-position model. The record is from RNAcentral.
CCUACGGGAGGCUGCAGUGAGGAAUAUUGGUCAAUGGCCGCAGGGCUGAACCAGCCAAGUCGCGUGAGGGAUGACGGUCCUAUGGAUUGUAAACCUCUUUUGUCAGGGAGCAAAGGGCGCCACGUGUGGCGCUUUGCGAGUACCUGAAGAAAAAGCAUCGGCUAACUCCGUGCCAGCAGCCGCGGUAAUACGGAGGAUGCGAGCGUUAUCCGGAUUUAUUGGGUUUAAAGGGUGCGCAGGCGGAAUGUCAAGUCAGCGGUAAAAUUUCGGGGCUCAACCCCGUCGUGCCGUUGAAACUGGCGUUCUUGAGGGAGCGAGAAGUAUGCGGAAUGCGUGGUGUAGCGGUGAAAUGCAUAGAUAUCACGCAGAACUCCGAUUGCGAAGGCAGCAUACCGGCGCUCAACUGACGCUCAUGCACGAAAGCGUGGGUAUCGAACAGGAUUAGAUACCCCUGUAGUC